AUUGAACGCUGGCGGCAGGCCUAACACAUGCAAGUCGAGCGGAUGAAGGGAGCUUGCUCCUGGAUUCAGCGGCGGACGGGUGAGUAAUGCCUAGGAAUCUGCCUGGUAGUGGGGGAUAACGUCCGGAAACGGGCGCUAAUACCGCAUACGUCCUGAGGGAGAAAGUGGGGGAUCUUCGGACCUCACGCUAUCAGAUGAGUCUAGGUCGGGUUAGCUAGUUGGUGGGGUAAAGGCCUACCAAGGCGACGAUCCGUAACUGGUCUGAGAGGAUGAUCAGUCACACUGGAACUGAGACACGGUCCAGACUCCUACGGGAGGCAGCAGUGGGGAAUAUUGGACAAUGGGCGAAAGCCUGAUCCAGCCAUGCCGCGUGUGUGAAGAAGGUCUUCGGAUUGUAAAGCACUUUAAGUUGGGAGGAAGGGCAGUAAGUUAAUACCUUGCUGUUUUGACGUUACCAACAGAAUAAGCACCGGCUAACUUCGUG
RNAcentral lists this ribosomal RNA (484 nucleotides) under uncultured bacterium. RNAcentral describes it as "partial 16S ribosomal RNA". It matches the Rfam family "Bacterial small subunit ribosomal RNA", at positions 30 to 507 of the family's 1533-position model. The record is from RNAcentral.